Molecule: ribosomal RNA, 253 nt
Filed under: uncultured bacterium
Lineage: Bacteria
Description: partial 16S ribosomal RNA
Rfam family: Bacterial small subunit ribosomal RNA
Source: RNAcentral
UACGUAGGGGGCAAGCGUUGUCCGGAAUCAUUGGGCGUAAAGCGCGCGUAGGCGGCCCGGUAAGUCCGCUGUGAAAGUCCAGGGCUCAACCCUGGAAAGCCGGUGGAUACUGCCGGGCUAGAGUCCGGAAGAGGCGAGUGGAAUUCCUGGUGUAGCGGUGGAAUGCGCAGAUAUCAGGAGGAACACCGAUGGCGAAGGCAGCUCGCUGGGACGGUACUGACGCUGAGGCGCGAAAGCGUGGGGAGCGAACAGG